UAUUCAUAGACAUCAAUCUGGGACGAAUUCCAUAGAACAUCAGAGAUAUAUAAUAUCGGCUGGGGAGGAGUUCGAUCAAGAGAAAAAGAAUAUUAUAAUUCUUUUGACACGGCUGCGACAUAAGGAAAAAAGAAGAAAAGCCGAUUGGUUCAAGUUUCAAGGCCGCGAUUCAAGAUUCGAUUACGGGUCGGAAAUGAAGUUUUCCUCAAAAGCAUUCUAGUCUCUACCGAGACUGUAGCAAAAGAAAGGGUCCAGAGCUUGGACCCAAAUGAUCUAGCUGGUGGUACAGAGAUUGGACAAGAAUGAAGUGAGGUAAACGUUCAAGUACCAAUAAAAAAGAUGAAAACUUGGUAAGAUCAUAUGGUUUAUUUUCUACAAUUCAAGAUUGUAUUGGUGCAUCCAUCGCAUGGCCAUAUCCAUUCAUCUCGGUGGUCCAUGAGGAUUGAGGACGCAUGA
RNAcentral lists this long non-coding RNA (456 nucleotides) under Helianthus annuus (common sunflower). RNAcentral's name for it is "hypothetical non coding rna". The record is from RNAcentral. Lineage: Eukaryota; Viridiplantae; Streptophyta; Magnoliopsida; Asterales; Asteraceae.